Molecule: long non-coding RNA, 1224 nt
Filed under: Manihot esculenta (cassava)
Lineage: Eukaryota; Viridiplantae; Streptophyta; Magnoliopsida; Malpighiales; Euphorbiaceae
Description: long non-coding RNA (MESC_LNC011187)
Source: RNAcentral
CGAACCUGCAUGGGAGGCAGUCUUUAGGCUGCCGAACGUGCCCCCGAAGGAGGGACUUUCGUUUCUGUCCAGGGGUUUCGGCCGCCGAACCUGCCGCCGAACUUACCCGAGUUUCGUCUCUGGAAGGGACUUUCGGCCGCCGAAGGUGCCGCCGAAAGUGCCCUGUCCAGCCGUUUCUUGGGUGUUUCCUAUGCAUGUUUUAGUGAUGUUUAGAGGGGUUUUUGGGGGUAUGUUUAUGAGUUGUUUAGAGUAUGUUUGGCACCUCAUUCGAGUCCACCUGUGUAGGAUCGGACCCGAGGGACCGAGGAGGCCAGUAGUGCUAGCAGUUGCAGAGUCUGUCAGCGUCUGCCAGGAGGUGAGUAGAACUAAACCUAAUCUUUUAUUUUAAGAAAUCAAAUGUCUAAUGCAUCUUUAUUUUAAGGAAUUCAAAUGCCUAAAGCAUAUGCAUGCAUCAUGUUUAUAUGUAAUAGGAUGAUUGCACUAGUUUCACGAAUGUGACGCAUUGCAUAAAUUGUUGAUUAUAUGAUGAGAUGGGUGGACCAAGGCGACCUCAAUAGCCCGUAAGUCUGUCAUUGAGUCCUUGUUAGUCGGGCGAGUACAUGUAGGAAAGCCCAAUGAGAGCUCCUUCGGGGCCGAGUUAUGACAGAGGGAAUGUUGGGGUCAUGUCUAACCCUGAGGGGAAGGACGUUUCGAGAACCCUCUAAAAUCACCCGCAAGAGGAAGAGAUUGCUAGCGUGAACUCAAGCGGGGAAGAAAUGUUUGAUGUGUAUUCGUUGUGAUAUGACGCAUUUCAUGAAAGCAUGAAAUAAAAGAAAGAAAUAAAAUAAAAUGAAAUAAAAUAAAAUAAAUAAUGAAUAAUAAAAUGAAAUCAUAAUUAAUGAACUGUUUUCUCUGUUUCUACUCACUGGGCUCUUGUAGCUCACCCCAUUCCCUUAACCCCAGUUUUGCAGGGCCAGAGUAAGUAAGUCAGAGUAAGUCAGAUAGAGCUAUGGGAAAGAAGAGGUUCAAGCAUGGGUUGCCAUGUUUGGUUGUAAUAGCUUAGCUAUGUUUUGUUUAUGUUUGAGUAAGGCUUGAUGUGUAUGUUUAUGGUUAUAGUGGAUGUUAUGUAAGGAAGUUGUUAAAGAGAUGAUAUGUUAUGUAAUGCUAUGUAUGUUUUGUAUGCUUGUUUAGCUUAGUAAUGGACAUGAUAGAUGGACUUGAUGUAUGGUCCUUAUGUAUAUAAAG